This 251-nucleotide ribosomal RNA is filed under the name uncultured bacterium. Its description in RNAcentral is "partial 16S ribosomal RNA". It matches the Rfam family "Bacterial small subunit ribosomal RNA", at positions 524 to 776 of the family's 1533-position model. The record is from RNAcentral.
GACGGGGGGGGCAAGUGUUCUUCGGAAUGACUGGGCGUCAAGGGCACGUAGGCGGUGAAUCGGGUUGAAAGUGAAAGUCGCCAAAAAGUGGCGGAAUGCUCUCGAAACCAAUUCACUUGAGUGGGUCAGAGGAGAGUGGAAUUUCGUGUGUAGGGGUGAAAUCCGUAGAUCUACGAAGGAAGGCCAAAAGCGAAGGCAGCUCUCUGGGUCCCUACCGACGCUGGGGUGCGAAAGCAUGGGGAGCGAACAGG